Molecule: non-coding RNA, 1183 nt
Organism: Osmia lignaria (orchard mason bee)
Lineage: Eukaryota; Metazoa; Arthropoda; Insecta; Hymenoptera; Megachilidae
Source: RefSeq, a predicted model, not a curated record
AGUUAGAACCUCUGAGUCAGAACCCUUCCGUUGCUGCGUUAGACAAAUACAAAUUGGUGGCAAAAAUUUGACAAAUGAUGUUUUUAUUAUUUACUUUGAUGUCAUGAAUCUUGUGUAGACUGAAUAAUAUUGACGUAGAAGUUAAUUCCACGACACUGUGUACAGUGGCAUUGAAAACGAGCCACAAGUCGGAGGAAGCAACGAGCAAAGCAAUCAUGACGUUUCAAUCAGGCCAAGGAAAGCGGUGAAUCAUUCCGGACCGCCUGGUCCACGAAACAAACACAAAAGAGGGUAUCGAGGGAUCUCGAGUUGCAUCGGAAGAUAUCAGAAGGAGGCCAAAAGAGGAUUCGCAUUUUCCAUUGUGUCGAGAACAUAGUAGUACGCGUUCUCGUCGGCUCGUAUAUCCACGAGGAGAGUUAUCGAGAUGUUUAUCCACUUAUAAAGGCUGCUAUCCGAAUAUUUAUUCGUUCCCUGCAUAGUCUCGUUCAAUUCUGAUGCAUAUCGACACUUUUCUUUAUUGACCUUACAAAAUGUAUUACAGAAUAAAAAGGUUAGAUCCCUAACCUAACCUAAAAAAGAAAUAAUUAUUUCAUCGCCCUCCGUUGAAUCAUCCUCCAGAGACGAACGAGUGCUUGCUUUUCCUGACACGUACCGCCCCUGGAAUAAUUACCAUCAAUCCGGCACGCAGCCAGAAUGCUCAAAAACACCUUCCAAGAAUCUAGCGUCGCUAUUUUCACCGCAAGGAGGACAGAAGUCAACAGCUCCGCGUAAAAUUAACACGUCCAGCCAGCGUGCAAUUACCCACCCCCCUGGUACAUCCCUCUGCUGUCUCUUCCUCGUGAAAGAAUCGAGGGACCCUCCGUGCCGCCAUUGGUCUUCUUAACCUCUAUUCAACGGGAUCCAUUGAAUGAUGCUUCGACGUCACGCCACAUCGUCUGCCUCGUGGAUUAUUGAUGACAAAACGAUCCGGAUUCCAUUCAGUCGAACUUUCGACUUGCCCUUGAUGAUCACCGCGAGAACUUCGUAAUUAUUGCUGAAGAGGAUUUGUCGACCGAUCGUUCGAGGAAUUUUUAACCCGUUGGUUACACUCUGAUCAAUUCGAUAAGUUGGAGGUGAGAGGAGGCUUGAACGGGAGCUUUGGUCCAAAAACUUUAGAGGUUCGUGGGUACAUAAGGGGUGUCUC